GAUGAAGAACGUAGCGAAAUGCGAUAAGUAAUGUGAAUUGCAGAAUUCAGUGAAUCAUCGAAUCUUUGAACGCACAUUGCGCCCGCCAGCAUUCUGGCGGGCAUGCCUGUUCGAGCGUCAUUUCAACCCUCGAGCCCCCCCGGGGGCCUCGGUGUUGGGGGACGGCACACCAGCCGCCCCCGAAAUGCAGUGGCGACCCCGCCGCAGCCUCCCCUGCGUAGUAGCACACACCUCGCACCGGAGCGCGGAGGCGGUCACGCCGUAAAACGCCCAACUUUCUUAGAGUUGACCUCGGAUCAGAUAGGAAUACCCGCUGAACUUAAGCAUAUCAAUAAGCGGAGGA
RNAcentral lists this unclassified non-coding RNA (343 nucleotides) under soil metagenome. RNAcentral describes it as "partial contains 5.8S ribosomal RNA, internal transcribed spacer 2, and large subunit ribosomal RNA". The stretch from base 1 to 120 matches the Rfam family "5.8S ribosomal RNA", at positions 35 to 154 of the family's 154-position model. The record is from RNAcentral.